UACGGGAGGCAGCAGUGGGGAAUAUUGGACAAUGGGCGGAAGCCUGAUCCAGCAAUGCCGCGUGUGUGAAGAAGGCCCGAGGGUCGUAAAGCACUUUUGUUAGGGAGGAAGGAGUAUGUAUUAAUACUACAUACAACUGACGUUACCUAAAGAAUAAGCACCGGCUAACUCUGUGCCAGCAGCCGCGGUAAU
This 192-nucleotide ribosomal RNA is filed under the name uncultured bacterium. Its description in RNAcentral is "partial 16S ribosomal RNA". It matches the Rfam family "Bacterial small subunit ribosomal RNA", at positions 340 to 524 of the family's 1533-position model. The record is from RNAcentral.